RNAcentral lists this long non-coding RNA (215 nucleotides) under Mustela putorius furo (domestic ferret). Its description in RNAcentral is "lncRNA (ENSMPUG00000026004.1)". The record is from RNAcentral. Lineage: Eukaryota; Metazoa; Chordata; Mammalia; Carnivora; Mustelidae.
CUUCAUGGUCCAAAGAAAGAUGUUUAAACUCCUGGAGUCGAGGUGCCACUAAAGAGGCAACUGGACAACCCAUCUCCUGGGUCAGCUGGCCAACACUGGUGCCAGCGGUUGAGUGGAGAGAUAAUACUGACUCACCGGUUAAAGGCACACUCCUGGCCCUUAAACUAACAACAAAAUGAGCUGGAUACCGGCAAAUAGCAGUCAGCUGAGGUAAG